UACGUAGGGUGCAAGCGUUGUCCGGAAUUAUUGGGCGUAAAGAGCUCGUAGGCGGUUUGUCGCGUCGGAUGUGAAAACCCGGGGCUCAACCCCGGGCCUGCAUUCGAUACGGGCAGACUAGAGUUCGGUAGGGGAGUCUGGAAUUCCUGGUGUAGCGGUGAAAUGCGCAGAUAUCAGGAGGAACACCGGUGGCGAAGGCGGGACUCUGGGCCGUAACUGACGCUGAGGAGCGAAAGCGUGGGGAGCGAACAGG
Molecule: ribosomal RNA, 253 nt
Filed under: uncultured bacterium
Lineage: Bacteria
Description: partial 16S ribosomal RNA
Rfam family: Bacterial small subunit ribosomal RNA
Source: RNAcentral